This 470-nucleotide ribosomal RNA is filed under the name uncultured Anaerolineaceae bacterium. RNAcentral describes it as "bacterial SSU rRNA". It matches the Rfam family "Bacterial small subunit ribosomal RNA", at positions 896 to 1382 of the family's 1533-position model. Lineage: Bacteria; Bacillati; Chloroflexota; Anaerolineae; Anaerolineales; Anaerolineaceae. The record is from RNAcentral.
GAAACUCAAAGGAAUUGACGGGGACCCGCACAAGCAGCGGAGCGUGUGGUUUAAUUCGUUGCUACACGAAGAACCUUACCUGGGUUUGACAUAUAGGUUGUAGGGAACUGAAAGGGACGACCCUUCGGGGAGCCUAUACAGGUGUUGCAUGGCUGUCGUCAGCUCGUGUCGUGAGAUGUUCGGUUAAGUCCGCUAACGAGCGCAACCCUCGUCGUAUGUUAUAUGUGUCAUACGAGACUGCCGGUAAAAGCCGGAGGAAGGUGAGGAUGAUGUCAAGUCAGCAUGACCUUUAUAUCCAGGGCUACACACACGCUACAAUGGUCUGUACAAUGGGUAGCCAAGCCGCGAGGCGGAGCCAAUCCUGAAAGCAGGCCUCAGUUCAGAUUGCAGUCUGCAACUCGACUGCAUGAAGCCGGAGUUGCUAGUAACCGCAGGUCAGCAAUACUGCGGUGAAUACGUUCCCGGGUCUU